AUGCAAGUCUGGAGGCCAAGAUUACCGACUUCGGCAAUGUCUAAGGCCUUCAAACAUGACAAGGACACACAUGUAUCCACAAACACACUCGUUGGUACCUAUGGAUAUGUUGAUCCAGAGUACCUGGCAACAAUGCAACCAACAACAAAGAGUGACGUGUACAGUUUCGGUGUCGUGUUGCUUGAAUUCGUCACCGGAAGACCAACUAUAUUGCCAGAGUCUCUGAUGCCCAUCAGCAUCAUCCAUUGGGUGAGGUCCCAGCUAGUGGAGGGCAACAUUGAGAGCGUGGUGGAUGCGCGCAUGCAUGGUUGUUAUGAUGUGAACAGUGUGUGGAAGGUGGCAAACAUCGCUCUGGAGUGCACCGCACAUGUGUCGCUGGAACUGCCCACCAUCAGCGACGUGGUGGUGCAGCUCCAAGAGUGCCUCAAGCUCGAGGAUUGCUAUGCAAGCAGUGACAUGAGCGGAGGCUUGUACACCGGAAGUGGAAUCCAUGAUCCAAACUUGAAUAAUGAAUCUCAGGACAGUGUUGCAUUAGAGAUGGAGUAUGUGUCUAGAAGGAUGGCAACAAGGACCACAGAUCCUGUUGCACGUUGA
Molecule: ribosomal RNA, 594 nt
Filed under: Triticum aestivum (bread wheat)
Lineage: Eukaryota; Viridiplantae; Streptophyta; Magnoliopsida; Poales; Poaceae
Description: partial small subunit ribosomal RNA
Source: RNAcentral